GAACUGAUCAUCUACUUUUCUUUUAACUGUCCGAAACCCCCUCCCUAACCCUAGAAACCCCCUCACUCUUUAUCUCUCUCACUCUCUGCCUCGCCGCCCCCAGAAUCGUGCAACAACGGCGGUCAACCUCCAAACUCCCCCAAAUUAUCACCUUAUAGCCUCCAACAUCGCUUUAAUCCAAAUCCACCAUCAAUUCUCCCAAAAGCGCCACCAAAUUCAAUAAAUUUUUUAUCUGAAGUCUCAGGAAUCCUUUCUUCCGUUGCUUGAUCGAUUCGUCUAGUUCACACUCAAAACUUACAUCAAUGGAAUGCUUUUAACAAGAGCUAUCAAUUGAUGUAAGGUUUAGUCCGAUUAUUGAUGGCCGAGUUUUGGUCAACUGGUUGUUGACCGGCCAGAGUCUUCCGGAAAUCUUUUAUAUCGCUUCCUUUGAGCUUAAUUAGGUAAUCCCCACUCCUUGACUUUUUGAUUAAUAAUUCCUCUUCUUUUACACUGAACUUUUUAGUUGUUCUUUCAUAUGUUUAUCAUGUUAGGACUUAAUCACCAUUAACUCUGUAUUUGCAUGAUUUAGAGUAGUGUUUAAUUGUAAGUUUAAAUUAGUUCAUUAGUAUUUUUUUUAAGUUCAACUGAUUUUUGUUUGGAAUGUUUUCGUUUGGUUAUGUUACUGCUACUUCCGUUUGAGUUGGUAUUGCUUUUGUUUGGUUGGGGUCUGUCUUGUUUGACAGGCAGACCCAUUAGGUUGAAGUUCAGUAGAUGAGUUUAGGUAUGGGCCCGGUGGUCAAAUGGCCCAAGUCUUUAAGUAUUGGUAAGGUAAAAGAAGAGAUAAUAUUAAAGUGGUAAAAUACAAAAAAUAAGAGGUUAGUUUAGGAAAUUAACAUGUAGAAUCUUUUCUGAUUAACAACAUAAAUAUUCUAGAAGAGAGUAGUAGGGACUAAAAUGCAAUAAGACAAAGAAAAUUAGGUCAAAUUUGGGGCUUCUGAGAAAAUACAGAAAGAUAAGGGAUUAAAAAGAAAAAAUAUAUAUAUGAAUGAAACAAUUGUACCAAAAUCUGUUAUUAGAAAGUUGCCUUUCCCCUAUUUUUAGGGCUGACACAAUUUUGGAUUCUCUCAAAAACUCACUCUCACUCUGCAUUUUCACACACACACAUACACCACAAUACUAAUUUUCAUCUACAUUCAUCCUCACUAAUUCUCUCACAGAAAACACUUUGAAAUUCGAAAUUAGAUCUAGAAAAAUCAAAGGAAAAAAGAUUUUGAAUUUAUUUGCACUGU
RNAcentral lists this long non-coding RNA (1268 nucleotides) under Nicotiana tabacum (common tobacco). RNAcentral's name for it is "long non-coding RNA (NTAB_LNC000443)". Lineage: Eukaryota; Viridiplantae; Streptophyta; Magnoliopsida; Solanales; Solanaceae. The record is from RNAcentral.